This 914-nucleotide ribosomal RNA is filed under the name uncultured archaeon. Its description in RNAcentral is "partial 16S ribosomal RNA". It matches the Rfam family "Archaeal small subunit ribosomal RNA", at positions 1 to 922 of the family's 1478-position model. The record is from RNAcentral.
UUCCGGUUGAUCCUGCCGGACCCGACCGCUUUUGGGAUGGGAUUAAGCCAUGCAAGUUGAGCUGAUGGAGAGCGGCAAAAAGCUCUGUAACGUGUAGUUAACCUACCCUCAGGACGGGCAUACCCACGGGAAACUGUGGUCAAUUCCCGAUAGUUGAUUAGGCCUGGAAUGGUUUUUCUUCCAAAGGAUAUGAUACCUGAGGAUGGGACUGCAUCUGAUUAGCUUGUUGGUGGGGUAACGGCCCACCAAGGCGAUAAUCAGUACGGGCUGUGAGAGCAGUAGCCCGGAGAUGGAGACUGAGACAACGCUCCAGGGCCUACGGGCCGCAGCAGGCGCGAAACCUCCGCAAUGCACGAAAGUGUGACGGGGCCAUCCCAAGUGCUGGGAGAUAAAUCCAGCUUUUGCCUAGUGUAAAUAGCUAGGCGAAUAAGGGGAGGGCAAGGUCUGGUGCCAGCCGCCGCGGUAAAACCAGCUCCUCGAGUAGUCGGGAGGAUUACUGGGUCUAAAGCGUCCGUAGCCGGCUUUGUAAGUUCCUGGUCAAACCCAGCGGCUUAACCGUUGGCUUGCUGGGGAUACUGCAAGGCUUGGGAAUCAGAGAGGCCAAGGGUACUAACAGGGUAGGGGUGAAAUCCUGUAAUCCUGUUGGGACCACCGGUGGCGAAGGCGCUUGGCUGGAAGAUGUCCGACGGUGAGGGACGAAAGCCAGGGGAGCGAACCGGAUUAGAUACCCGGGUAGUCCUGGCUGUAAACGAUGCGAGCUAGGUGUUUGCGUGGCUACGGGCUAUGCAAGUGCCGUAGAGAAGUCGUUAAGCUCGCCACCUGGGGAGUACGGCCGCAAGGCUGAAAAGGAAAGGAAUUGGCGGGGGAGCACCACAAGGGGUGAAGCCUGCGGUUUAAUUGGAUUCAACGCCGGA